UCAACCCCACCUGAAGUCUGGUCGAAAUGUGACCCUAGCCCAACCUUUCUUCUUUCGGUAUGCCGCUUCCCCCAAGUGAAACCCUCGUUUUGUGUUGCUUGCCUCAGUUUUCAAUAUGUAUCCUCUGAAUCUCUGAUUACAGUCGAAUAUUCGAAGUGGCCAUAAUGAAGAACCUAGCUCUUCAAUCAUAUGUGCGCGUAAACGGAAAUGCUACAGCCUACAACCUUCUUUUGACGACCGGUACAACAAGAUAAAGAGUGAACGUCAUGGUUCGAGUGUUCGAGCGACCUGGUUCGAGUGUUCAGAGAACGCUGAGAGUGAACGUCUCUCGCCAUCUGCCCUUCUCCACUUCUCUCAGAGAUCAAUGAUUCAAUUCAAUGCAAGUAUAAUUUCAAUUUUGUUUAAUCCAAUCAAUCCAAUUUGGGGCAAUUUUUAGGGUUAAAGAUUGAUCUCAAAUUCAAUUUCGUGGGUUAAUUAUAGACUUGUAAUGGAUUGAACAUUGCGGUCAAGGAUCUGCUAUCUGCGAUGUGGGUUUAAUUGAUGUGAAAAUCAAUCAAGGUCAGUAGGUGUAGGCGUGUAGUUCUUAGGAGGCUUCUUGAGUUCUUUUAAACUACAUCUUUAAUUGGGUUUAACAGAUGCAGUACCAUUUACUUCUCUCUGCUUCUCUCUUUCUGUUUAUUUAAAUGUUUAAUUGUGAAUGAGUCAUUGGCACUAUGAACUAGAAGUCUGGAACUAUGAACUGGAACAAAAUGUUUGUUUUCUAAUUUCUAUAUUUGUUUAUGUGACUAUAUAUAGUUAAAUUAUCUCAAAUGUUAUAGGCGUGGUUCAAAUGCUCACUACGUCCCCCUUGACUAGGUGUAUCUUUUUUUAAUUAAUAAAAUUCUCUCGCACCGUCGAGAUUUUCCAUAAUUUUUUUUUUGUUUUUUUUUUUGUUUAAGAAAUUCAAGCCCCCCCUAAGGUUUCAAUAGUUAAAUAUAACGAGAUUGAGAGAGUGAAUUAUUUGAUAUAUCAUUCAUCUCACAAUGGAGGCAUAUAAAGAGAAUUACAGGAAUACAAUUGACUUACGUCUCUAUUCUCUACCACACAAAGAAUAGGUAAGUACUAACUACAAUAUAAUUACAAUAUAUUACAUUCCUAAUAUUAUACCAUGACUCACGCUAACAUCAAUCCUGGAUCCUCCACUGCACACUAUCCAUGUUUAUAAUUGGUGUCAAUCACAAUGAGUACACUCCUAAUAUUAUGCAUGAAGCUUGAUUAAAUGUGUUUUCCUUUUACGUAUUUUGUUUAGUCCUAUUAGAAUUGACAUCUUUGUUGAUGAUUCUAAGUUGGUGCUUAUGCAUUUUUGGUAUGAGUUGCUUGUACAAGUAAAUCGUGUAUAUAUAUAGUCCGGGGUAUAAAAAUGAUUUCGAUCUGGUAAUUGAGUUACACUAGUAUAGGUAAAUUAUUGAUUUAAAUAUAACAUACAAGAAGUACAUGGGAAAGUCAUAAUGAACAUGAAGAAGCCAAUAUAAAUUUAGCUAGUUUCCGAUAACUAAGCAUAGCACAUUAGCAAUAUGUGAAUCAUUCUGCAUACAUAAUUCUAGUUUAUUAAAGCCUCUAUCAUCGUUAAGGUCUGGAAACUUUGAUGAGCUACUGUUAUUUUGGCUUUAGUAUAGCAACCACAAGUAUUAACUUUUGUUUUGUUCAGGCUGUUCAAAACUAUCUGCUAGUUCUCGACAGGAAAUUGACUGGAGUGACCUUCUAUACUCCCGACCCGCAACUUCUCUACAUAUGUGGAACUAAGUGUCAUGCUUCAGAAUAAUGCAACUUAUGCCUAGAUCAAAGAUGUUAUUAAGCAAGAGUCUGAUGGAGAGCUCAAUGGAAUCCUCGGAUUCCGUGAUGAUCAGAUUAUGUCAUCUUACCUCAUUGGUGACAAGAGGUCCUGCAUCUUUGAUGCCCAAUCUGGUACUGCAACGAGCAAUAGAUUUUUCAAUCUUGUAGCCUGGUGCAACAUGGAAUGGGGUUUCUGUUCUCGUAUGAUGGACUUCAUUUCAUACAUGGAUUCACAUCGCGUUUGAACCUGUGAAGAUGCACUGCUAGUUAAUAUUUGAACUUUUAGUUAGUCUCCCCCACCCCCUCUUGGCUGAGUUGUAGAAACGGGGCAUUGCACUUUAGCUUUAGUAGUUUUGAUAUUCGGAGAAAUUUGAUGGGGGUUGAUAUAUAAGUAUAUGUAGGAGUUGUUCUCUUGAUCUGUUUGUGUUUUCCUUUCACUCAAACAGGGCAUUGCACUUUAGCUAUAGUAGCUUUAGUAGUUAAUUUUGAUUUUCGGAGAAAUUUGAUGGGGUUGAUAUAUAAGUAUAUAUAAGAGUUGUUCUCUUGA
This is a long non-coding RNA of Rosa rugosa (rugosa rose), 2359 nucleotides long. RefSeq lists it as uncharacterized. The transcript is spliced from 4 exons. NCBI's taxonomy places the organism in Eukaryota, Viridiplantae, Streptophyta, Magnoliopsida, Rosales, Rosaceae. The record is from RefSeq and is a predicted model, not a curated record.